RNAcentral lists this small nucleolar RNA (132 nucleotides) under Castor canadensis (American beaver). RNAcentral's name for it is "Small nucleolar RNA SNORA51 (ENSCCNG00000028658.1)". It matches the Rfam family "Small nucleolar RNA SNORA51". Rfam says of the family: ACA51 is a member of the H/ACA class of snoRNA that guide the sites of modification of uridines to pseudouridines. Lineage: Eukaryota; Metazoa; Chordata; Mammalia; Rodentia; Castoridae. The record is from Rfam by way of RNAcentral.
AGCCUCCUGGUGCUGACCACAAGCUGUCCUCUUACACUGACUGUAUAGAAAGAGGAGGGAAAGUCCACCUGCCCCAUGCACACCGCAGCCCAGGCCCUGUGCCUGGUCUCUAUUGUGAAUGGGGAGACAUGG